Molecule: ribosomal RNA, 435 nt
Filed under: uncultured bacterium
Lineage: Bacteria
Description: bacterial SSU rRNA
Rfam family: Bacterial small subunit ribosomal RNA
Source: RNAcentral
AGAGUUUGAUCCUGGCUCAGGACGAACGCUGGCGGCGUGCCUAACACAUGCAAGUCGAGCGAUGAAAUCCUUCGGGAUGGAUUAGCGGCGGACGGGUGAGUAACACGUGGGUAACCUGCCUCAAAGAGGGGAAUAGCCUUCCGAAAGGAAGAUUAAUACCGCAUAAUAUGUUUUGGUCGCAUGACUAGAACAUCAAAGGAGCAAUCCGCUUUGAGAUGGACCCGCGGCGCAUUAGCUAGUUGGUGAGGUAACGGCUCACCAAGGCGACGAUCCCUAGCUGGUCUGAGAGGAUGACCAGCCACACUGGAACUGAGACACGGUCCAGACUCCUACGGGAGGCAGCAGUGGGGAAUAUUGCACAAUGGGCGCAAGCCUGAUGCAGCCAUGCCGCGUGUAUGAAGAAGGCCUUCGGGUUGUAAAGUACUUUCAGCGGGG